RNAcentral lists this ribosomal RNA (463 nucleotides) under uncultured bacterium. RNAcentral describes it as "partial 16S ribosomal RNA". It matches the Rfam family "Bacterial small subunit ribosomal RNA", at positions 28 to 507 of the family's 1533-position model. The record is from RNAcentral.
GAUGAACGCUGACAGAAUGCUUAACACAUGCAAGUCUUUGGCGAAGCUGUGCUUGCACAGCCUAGCCAAGGCGGACGGGUGAGUAACGCGUAAGGAACUUGCCCUGCAGUCAGGGAUAACAGACGGAAACGACUGAUAAGACCUGGUAAAGUCAGGCGGACUCAUGUCCAGCCUGAUGAAAAGUGAUGCUGCAGGAGAGCCUUGCGUCCUAUUAGCUUGUUGGUGGGGUAACGGCCCACCAAGGCGAUGAUAGGUAGCCGGCCUGAGAGGGUGGACGGCCACAAGGGGACUGAGAUACGGCACUUACUCCUACGGGAGGCGGCAGUGGGGAAUAUUGGACAAUGGGGGCAACCCUGAUCCAGCAAUUCUGUGUGCACGAUGAAGGUUUUCGGAUUGUAAAGUGCUUUCAGCAGGGAAGAAAAAAAUGACGGUACCUGCAGAAGAAGCGACGGCUAAAUACGUG